This 376-nucleotide ribosomal RNA is filed under the name uncultured bacterium. RNAcentral describes it as "bacterial SSU rRNA". It matches the Rfam family "Bacterial small subunit ribosomal RNA", at positions 521 to 895 of the family's 1533-position model. The record is from RNAcentral.
UACUACGUAGCGGGCGAGCGUUGUCCGAAGUUACUGGGCGUAAAGCGCGCGUAGGCGGUUCUUUAAGUCUGGUGUGAAAGGUUCAGGCUCAACCCGAACAGGGCACUGGAUACUGGGGGACUUGAGUGCGGGAGAGGGAAGCGGAGUUCCAGGUGUAGCGGUGAAAUGCGUAGAUAUCUGGAGGAACACCGAUGGCGAAGGCAGCUUCCUGGCCUGCAACUGACGCUGAGGCGCGAAAGCGUGGGGAGCGAACGGGAUUAGAUACCCCGGUAGUCCACGCCGUAAACGAUGAGUGCUAGGUGUUAGGGGUAUCGACCCCCCUAGUGCCGCCGCUAACGCACUAAGCACUCCGCCUGGGGAGUACGGCCGCAAGGUU